CAAAACUAUCGGAUGAGAGA
Molecule: microRNA, 20 nt
Filed under: Tribolium castaneum (red flour beetle)
Lineage: Eukaryota; Metazoa; Arthropoda; Insecta; Coleoptera; Tenebrionidae
Description: tca-miR-11619e-5p
Source: miRBase by way of RNAcentral